Molecule: ribosomal RNA, 284 nt
Filed under: uncultured bacterium
Lineage: Bacteria
Description: partial 16S ribosomal RNA
Rfam family: Bacterial small subunit ribosomal RNA
Source: RNAcentral
GUGGAUUAGAUACCCGAGUAGUCCACGCAGUCAACGAUGAAUACUAGCUGUAUGCGAUAUACUGUAUGUGGCAAAGCGAAAGCGUUAAGUAUUCCACCUGGGGAGUACGUUCGCAAGAAUGAAACUCAAAGGAAUUGACGGGGGCCCGCACAAGCGGAGGAACAUGUGGUUUAAUUCGAUGAUACGCGAGGACCCUUACCCGGGCUUGAAAUGCAGAGGAAUGACUUGGAAACAGGUCCGCCAGCAAUGGUCUCUGUGUAGGUGCUGCACGGCCGUCGUCAGCU